This 517-nucleotide ribosomal RNA is filed under the name uncultured fungus. Its description in RNAcentral is "SSU rRNA". It matches the Rfam family "Eukaryotic small subunit ribosomal RNA", at positions 214 to 732 of the family's 1831-position model. Lineage: Eukaryota; Fungi. The record is from RNAcentral.
AUUAAAAACCAAUGCCCUUUGGGCUCACUGGUGAUUCAUGAUAACUUCUCGAAUCGCAUGGCCUUGCGCCGGCGAUGGUUCAUUCAAAUUUCUGCCCUAUCAACUUUCGACGGCUGGGCCUUGGCCAGCCAUGGUGACAACGGGUAACGGAGGGUUAGGGCUCGACCCCGGAGAAGGAGCCUGAGAAACGGCUACUACAUCCAAGGAAGGCAGCAGGCGCGCAAAUUACCCAAUCCCGACACGGGGAGGUAGUGACAAUACAUACUGAUACAGGGCUCUUUUGGGUCUUGUAAUUGGAAUGAGUACAAUUUAAAUCCCUUAACGAGGAACAAUUGGAGGGCAAGUCUGGUGCCAGCAGCCGCGGUAAUUCCAGCUCCAAUUGCGUAUAUUAAAGUUGUUGCGGUUAAAAAGCUCGUAGUUGAACCUUGGGCCUGGCUGGCCGGUCCGCCUCACCGCGUGCACUGGUACGGUCGGGCCUUUCCCUCUGGGGAACCGCAUGCCCUUCACUGGGUGUGUC